GACUGGGAUAACUUCGGGAAACCGGAGCUAAUACCGGAUAAUAUUUUGAACCGCAUGGUUCAAAAGUGAAAGACGGUCUUGCUGUCACUUAUAGAUGGAUCCGCGCUGCAUUAGCUAGUUGGUAAGGUAACGGCUUACCAAGGCAACGAUGCAUAGCCGACCUGAGAGGGUGAUCGGCCACACUGGAACUGAGACACGGUCCAGACUCCUACGGGAGGCAGCAGUAGGGAAUCUUCCGCAAUGGGCGAAAGCCUGACGGAGCAACGCCGCGUGAGUGAUGAAGGUCUUCGGAUCGUAAAACUCUGUUAUUAGGGAAGAACAUAUGUGUAAGUAACUGUGCACAUCUUGACGGUACCUAAUCAGAAAGCCACGGCUAACUACGUGCCAGCAGCCGCGGUAAUACGUAGGUGGCAAGCGUUAUCCGGGAAUUAUUGGGCGUAAAGCGCGCGUAGGCGGUUUUUUAAGUCUGAUGUGAAAGCCCACGGCUCAACCGUGGAGGGUCAUUGGAAACUGGAAAACUUGAGUGCAGAAGAGGAAAGUGGAAUUUCCAUGUGUAGCGGUGAAAUGCGCAGAGAUAUGGAGGAACACCAGUGGCGAAGGCGACUUUCUGGUCUGUAACUGACGCUGAUGUGCGAAAGCGUGGGGAUCAAACAGGAUUAGAUACCCUGGUAGUCCACGCCGUAAACGAUGAGUGCUAAGUGUUAGGGGGUUUCCGCCCCUUAGUGCUGCAGCUAACGCAUUAAGCACUCCGCCUGGGGAGUACGACCGCAAGGUUGAAACUCAAAGGAAUUGACGGGGACCCGCACAAGCGGUGGAGCAUGUGGUUUAAUUCGAAGCAACGCGAAGAACCUUACCAAAUCUUGACAUCCUUUGACAACUCUAGAGAUAGAGCCUUCCCCUUCGGGGGACAAAGUGACAGGUGGUGCAUGGUUGUCGUCAGCUCGUGUCGUGAGAUGUUGGGUUAAGUCCCGCAACGAGCGCAACCCUUAAGCUUAGUUGCCAUCAUUAAGUUGGGCACUCUAAGUUGACUGCCGGUGACAAACCGGAGGAAGGUGGGGAUGACGUCAAAUCAUCAUGCCCCUUAUGAUUUGGGCUACACACGUGCUACAAUGGACAAUACAAAGGGCAGCGAAACCGCGAGGUCAAGCAAAUCCCAUAAAGUUGUUCUCAGUUCGGAUUGUAGUCUGCAACUCGAAUACAU
This 1201-nucleotide ribosomal RNA is filed under the name Staphylococcus aureus. RNAcentral describes it as "bacterial SSU rRNA". It matches the Rfam family "Bacterial small subunit ribosomal RNA", at positions 136 to 1321 of the family's 1533-position model. Lineage: Bacteria; Bacillati; Bacillota; Bacilli; Caryophanales; Staphylococcaceae. The record is from RNAcentral.